CACGUAGGGUGCGAGCGUUGUCCGGAAUUAUUGGGCGUAAAGAGCUCGUAGGCGGUGUGUCGCGUCGGCCGUGAAAACCUGCAGCUUAACUGUGGGCUUGCGGUCGAUACGGGCAUCACUGGAGUUCGGCAGGGGAGACUGGAAUUCCUGGUGUAGCGGUGAAAUGCGCAGAUAUCAGGAGGAACACCGGUGGCGAAGGCGGGUCUCUGGGCAUGAUCUGACGCUGAGGAGCGAAAGCGUGGGGAGCAAACAGG
This 254-nucleotide ribosomal RNA is filed under the name uncultured bacterium. RNAcentral describes it as "partial 16S ribosomal RNA". It matches the Rfam family "Bacterial small subunit ribosomal RNA", at positions 524 to 776 of the family's 1533-position model. The record is from RNAcentral.